RNAcentral lists this ribosomal RNA (496 nucleotides) under uncultured bacterium. RNAcentral's name for it is "bacterial SSU rRNA". It matches the Rfam family "Bacterial small subunit ribosomal RNA", at positions 29 to 521 of the family's 1533-position model. The record is from RNAcentral.
AACGAACGCUGGCGGCGCGCCUAAUACAUGCAAGUCGAGCGAGAAGACGUAGCAAUACGUUUGUAAAGCGGCGAACGGGUGAGGAAUACAUGGGUAACCUACCCUCGAGUGGGGAAUAACUAGCCGAAAGGUUAGCUAAUACCGCGUACGCUCCUUGGACUUCGGUUCAGGGAGGAAAGCGAUACCGUGGGUAUCGCGCUCUUGGAUGGGCUCAUGUCCUAUCAGCUUGUUGGUGAGGAACGGCUCACCAAGGCUUCGACGGGUAGCUGGUCUGAGAGGACGAUCAGCCACACUGGCACUGCGACACGGGCCAGACUCCUACGGGAGGCAGCAGUAAGGAUAUUGCGCAAUGGGCGAAAGCCUGACGCAGCGACGCCGCGUGGGGGAUGAAGGUCUUCGGAUUGUAAACCCCUUUCGGGAGGGAAGAUGGAACGAGCAAUCGUUCGGACGUACCUCCAGAAGCAGCCACGGCUAACUUCGUGCCAGCAGCCGCGGU